RNAcentral lists this transfer RNA (57 nucleotides) under Canis lupus familiaris (dog). RNAcentral also lists the same sequence under 1 other name. Lineage: Eukaryota; Metazoa; Chordata; Mammalia; Carnivora; Canidae. The record is from Rfam by way of RNAcentral.
GCCUGGGUGGCUCAGUGGUUGAGCAUCUACCUUUGACGCAGGUCGUGAUCCCAGGCU